GGACGGCCGUGCCCGCCGCAGAGAACGUCGAACGUCCUCCCUGUCGACGACGACGACGAGGAAAAUGCCGUUGGAAUGCCCGCUUCCCGUUGUUCCUCCACCGAUACAGACGUGUUACGUGCGAAAUUGUUGGCCGCUUUCGACACUGGAGGUGUUUCGUGGAGGAGAGAUAAAAAAAAAAGGAGGGAGGGAGGGAGGGAGGAGGAGGGAGAGGUUCUUUCUUUCGUGGUACGUAUUGGAACGAGAUCACUGCUUAUCAAACAACGCGAUUGUAUUUUCAAUUUUUAAUCUUACUAAUGGGUAAAACUGUCGAUAACAUUUACAUAGGUAAUAUUUACAUCCUUUUCAAUAGCGAGAGAUAAUUGUGGACGUUUGGGAGUUGGAAUUAUUGUUAGAGAUGAGGAACGAGAAUGUUGAGAAAAUUUUGCAGAUGGUAGAUCCAGUAUUUUUAAUUCUUCUAAUUUCAAAUUAGAAGAAAAGGAAAAGAUCUCAAAUUAUUCUCGAUCAUUAUUCGCAAAAUAUUUCAAUUAUUUGAGGAUGAAGUAAGAUGAAUAAGUAAAAGAAACACAGUCAUCGUUUCUAAUAGUGAUCACGAGAUAGGGGGGCUUUAGGUAUCGUCGCGCGAUUCCGGAACGAACACCAGGAACGCGGCGAAUAUCGAGUGUAAAAGUUCCUGCAAUGGGAGGAUUUUCAUUCGAACGCUUCCAGCGGGCGCAAGAAUUAAACAAGAUUUUUUCCCGUGCAACGUUUAUUAAAAUCCUGCCGAGCAUGGAGAUUCGUCCAAUUGAUUAUCGAAUUAAUGAUUUGAAAUCGAAUUUAAAAAUGCAAUCAAGUUUCGACGUUUCGACGUUUCGUGCAGUGUAAAAUGUGUCGAAUUGAGACGGAUGCAGAAUUGGCGGACGGAGGCCACUCAACCCUGUCAGUAUCAGGCCGAUGAGGAACCAGAAACCAUCAAUAACCGGCGGAACCGGUGCCCAGCUUAACUCUAACGAAGGACGAUUUCUAACGAUCCCCCGGCUACGUCCAACUUCUGGACGUAAUUAAUUCCCCGGCUAACCCGGAAUGCUAUAAUUAAUUGCCGGUGGCUGAUGAGGGGUAGAAGGGUGGCUGCAACAAUAUGUACCCGGUUCGAUUAGAAGCACGGACCUCCGUGCAGUUAUGCAAUUAAUUAAAUUCAGUUUGUUAUGCGCGACCGAUUGUUAAUUACCGGUCGAAGUUAGAGAAACCGGUAUGGCCCCGCUCGAGAUUGCCUUGUAUCUAUGAAAGACUCCGUCGUUUCGUUGUUUUCGACGCGAAACAAACGAUAAUUACCCAAGUCGUCGAACUUGACAAACUUGAAAUUGUUUGAUUUAUCAUUCGUUUGAAAGAAAAGUCAAGUUUUAGAUUUUCUUUCUUCUUGUUUGAUUUUGAAAGUUUGAUUUUUUAUGAGGUUUGUAACUUUGAAUGGAUUUGUUUCGAACGAACAAGGUGAGUGACAAGGUUAAUCGUAUUAAUUUCAAGGAAUAAUAAUGAUUUUUUAACGAUUCGUAUUUUUAUUAUAAUUACAUAUAAUUCGUGGAAAGAUACAGAUAAGUCUUGUCAGAUUUGAGAUGGUUAAAUUCGUUUAUACAUAAAUCUUUUGAAGAACAGAUUCAGGUGGAAUCGGAUAAUUUAUAGAAGUUUAGAUUAUUUGGUAUAAUUAAUUAUUUAUUACUUAAUAAGUGGAUUUUUUAUAACAGAUACUUGUAUAAAUAGAUUAAUAUUGCAUCUUUGUUGUAAUAAAUUCAUAUAAUUGCACUUGCUAUUAAUCUAAAUAAUAGGAAUAUAAUUAGAGUUCACUUGGAUUUUGUUCCAACAAAUGAAAUUAAGUGUACUUGAUUUUUGAACACC
Long non-coding RNA from Apis cerana (Asiatic honeybee), 1869 nucleotides. RefSeq lists it as uncharacterized. Lineage: Eukaryota; Metazoa; Arthropoda; Insecta; Hymenoptera; Apidae. The record is from RefSeq and is a predicted model, not a curated record.